GAUGAAGAACGUAUCGAAAUGCGAUAAGUAGUGUGAAUUGCAGAAUUCAGUGAAUCAUCGAAUCUUUUAACGCACAUUGCGCCCCUUGGUAUUCCAUGGGGCAUGCCUGUUCGAGCGUCAUUUGUACCUUCAAGCUUUGCUUGGUGUUGGGUGUUUGUCUCGCCUUUGCGUGUAGACUCGCCUUAAAAUAAUUGGCAGCCGGCGUAUUGAUUUCGGAGCGCAGUACAUCUCGCGCUUUGCACUCAUAACGACAGCGUCCAAAAGUACAUUUUACACUCUUGACCUCGGAUCAGGUAGGGAUACCCGCUGAACUUAAGCAUAUCAAUAAGCGGAGGA
RNAcentral lists this unclassified non-coding RNA (336 nucleotides) under soil metagenome. RNAcentral describes it as "partial contains 5.8S ribosomal RNA, internal transcribed spacer 2, and large subunit ribosomal RNA". The stretch from base 1 to 120 matches the Rfam family "5.8S ribosomal RNA", at positions 35 to 154 of the family's 154-position model. The record is from RNAcentral.